AUGUCGCCGUUGGCCACGACGAGCACGGUGAUGGUGCGGCGCUUGUUGAUGUCCUGCGCCAGCCGCGUCUGCGUCAGCAGCUUGUUGAACUGCGAGUACUCCGGGUACGCCGCCAGGAUCUUGGUGAUGUUGUACCCCUCCGCCGCCGCCGCCAGGGCCAGCACCGCCAGCGCCACCAGCAACGCCCGCCGCCGCGCCUCCAUUAUCCUCUCCUCCUCGGUCGUUGCCGCUGCCGCGUCGGCGUCCGGAGCUUGGCCGCUAGCGCUAGCUCAGCUCGGGAUGGAGUGGGGUGGACUGGUGGAGAGCACUGAGCUGAGCGGAGCACCACUGAGUGAUGGUGUAAUGAUGGCCCAGUGCUGGCUGGGCUAUGUAGUAGGAGUACUGUGUGCACGUAGCGGCAGCGGGGUCUGGCAGGCAGGGACGGGAGUCGGUGGCGCGAGUGCCCCUGGAGCUGCGGGGUAA
RNAcentral lists this ribosomal RNA (462 nucleotides) under Triticum aestivum (bread wheat). RNAcentral describes it as "partial small subunit ribosomal RNA". The record is from RNAcentral. Lineage: Eukaryota; Viridiplantae; Streptophyta; Magnoliopsida; Poales; Poaceae.